Molecule: ribosomal RNA, 253 nt
Filed under: uncultured bacterium
Lineage: Bacteria
Description: partial 16S ribosomal RNA
Rfam family: Bacterial small subunit ribosomal RNA
Source: RNAcentral
GACAGAGGGGGCAAGCGUUGCUCGGAAUCACUGGGCGUAAAGGGCGCGUAGGCGGGAUGGCAAGUCGGUCGUGAAAUCCCUGGGCUCAACUCAGGGGGGUCGGCCGAUACUGCCGUUCUUGAGGGAUGCAGAGGAGACUGGAAUUCCCGGUGUAGCGGUGAAAUGUGUAGAUAUCGAGAGGAACACCUGCGGCGAAGGCGGGUUGCUGGGCUGACACUGACGCUGAAGUGCGAAAGCUAGGGGAGCGAACGGG